Molecule: long non-coding RNA, 910 nt
Filed under: Phaseolus vulgaris (common bean)
Lineage: Eukaryota; Viridiplantae; Streptophyta; Magnoliopsida; Fabales; Fabaceae
Description: long non-coding RNA (PVUL_LNC000440)
Source: RNAcentral
AGUUCUAUCCGGUGAUAUUUAGUGAUUGAUCAUUCAGUAUAAAAAAUAACUUGCUAUUUUUUUUAUCAGUCUAAAAUAAAAUAAAUUAAACUGAACAUUUCAGAUGCUUCAACCAUGAAACAGAUAAAAAAUAUAUAUAUACCAAAAUACAAAUCAUCUACUUUCUUAAGGCUCUUCCCAGCUUAAAACCAAGCUGCAAUCACUCAUACAAAAAGAAACAAGAAAGAAUCAAACUAAGAGUUAUUCCUUCACCAAUUUCUGCUGCAUUUUGUAUUUCUUUCUGCAGCUUUUCAUACAGCUUUAGUGCAGGAGGUUAAGCUUGGUGAAUCAUUGGCUCCAAAAGAAAAGCCACGCUCACUGCUUAAAACUGCAGCUUGUCCGAGACCAUACUAUCAAAGCCUAUACUAAUGCGCAUUGGCUUCUUCUGUUGUUGGUUUCUUCUAGUUUAAGAUUUGAAUCUUCUUCUCUUAAAUUUCUUCCAGGAUAUAAGGCUUUGCUCAGCUGCCAAACACAGAUCCGAAACCAGUGUGGUCAAAUUAUCCCCUGCUCCAGAAAUAACUAGCUAUAUAUAGUAACAGGAAAUAAAAAAUUUAUUGAUCUUACUGAUUUAUUUACUUUUAAAACUUGACCUAUUUAAUCUGACACUUAGCAGAUAUUGUCCAUGAUAAUUUGUGAGGAACACAAACAUGUUCCCUCUUGUCUGAGGCAGGCAUUAGAAUUUUCUUAUUUGCUAUGCUCACUAUAAAAGGAAGGACAGGGAAAAAUAAAAAAUAUCCUAUAGUAUUGAUAUAUAUAAUAAAAGAUGCUGAAUGAUUAUAGAAUAUUCAUAUGGUGUUUCAAGUCUAAAUAACUAACUACAUGAGUAAAUCUCAAUCAUUGAUAACAAUGAUCCGUGUGAUACUUACAUUUA